UAUUGUUGCAUCUGCCUCGGCCGG
Molecule: unclassified non-coding RNA, 24 nt
Filed under: Mus musculus (house mouse)
Lineage: Eukaryota; Metazoa; Chordata; Mammalia; Rodentia; Muridae
Description: oocyte_clustered_small_RNA1061
Source: RNAcentral